Molecule: long non-coding RNA, 4183 nt
Organism: Bombus pyrosoma
Lineage: Eukaryota; Metazoa; Arthropoda; Insecta; Hymenoptera; Apidae
Exons: 2
Source: RefSeq, a predicted model, not a curated record
UCAUUAAAGGCGUGCAUCCAGAGGACGGUCACCUCAAAGUGUCUCUGAACCUUCGAAGCAGUGUACUCACUAUGCCAAACUUCGUGCAAAAGGGUUUAGUCUUCCCGCGUUUAAACGGUUCGUUUCAGGUGUCACACGAUCGUGUAUUGAUUAUUUUUUUCUUGUACAGACUAUAGAACUGUAUGUACGCAUGUAUUCAUACAAUUGUAUUGCAAAUACUUCAUUACGCAAAGACACACUGAUGUUUAUUGUUAUUGGAACAGAUGUAACGUACAAUGCAUUAAUAUGCACAUAUCACUUUGCGUUACAAUAGUAUUACAAUCGAGUGAAAAAUAAUAAGUUUCAGGUCAACAAUAAGACUUACAAUAGAAGAUACACGUACAUACUCGUAUACGCAACUAUUACAGUAUCUAACUCUAAAGACUAAGUAAAAUAGAAUAACACGUCGUUAAAAUAAAAUCAAUAAUAAAUUUGUAGGAAGUGAGAAUGGUACCACGAGGUCAUCGGCAUCUUGACUUCAAAUUACGUAGAACUUUAUAAAAAUAACUCACUCAUUGUUAUAAAAUUGGAAACUAUUAAAAAUUAAAUUUUGUAAAUAAAUGUAUAUAACUUUCUUUAAAAAUUCAUAUGUUUUAAAAAAUAGAGAGACAUAUAUUUAAACAACAUAGUUCAUAGGAAGAAUUACGCCAAAAAUUAUGAAAAUUGUUUACAUUGGUGACACUUAAGUCUACCAUUUACUUUAUCGUAGAUACAUCCCUGCGCCUUGUGUCUGCGCAUGCGCGUAUCUGUACGCACGAAGAGGUACUCGACUAAUCGCAUCGGGUGCCCCGGCCACGCUUCCCGCUCUUCGUUUCCUCGUGUUAUUUAGUGAACGUCUUUACGUUCUUUUCCGAAUUCCUGUCAUUUUGUGGUUACCCAAACGUCACGCGAUGCCUUUGAAUUUUGCGCAUUAGUUAUAAUCGUAUAUAUUAAAGACAUCCUCUGGGUAUAUAGAAUUUCUGCGCAUCAAUACGUUCGUGCAACGUCAACCUAACCCCCAAUAAGUGCAGGAGCCACGGACCUGACAUUCCAUUACGAUGUAUAAGGCUUUCCUCCAGGUAUCCGUGGUGCUAUAACCCCAUUUUCCUUUCUCUUUCUUGUUCUAAUACACAUAUGCGUAUGCAUACUCAUUUUCAUUUCCUAUUACGAUUACUUUUUCGUUAUUUGGUUAUGAUUCGACUCGAGGUCAUCUCUAGCUUGUUAAGUUUGUACAGAUGUAGAAACUCUGUUGCUUCGAGUUCAUAGAUAUUAAUAAAUAAAAUUAAAAAAGAGUUAUGGUAUUCGAUUUUUAUCGUUUUAAUUUAGUAUUUGAACAACAUAUGUUGAUUCGUGGCGUUGGAUCGCAAUAAAAGUUAAUUAGGAAUACAGAUAUUAAUGUACGAGAUUUUUAAACAACUUUCUACUCGACGUUGAAAUGAUUGUUGUAACGAAAAUUUUAUUAAAGAAAAACGGUUUUAUUCAAAUUGCGUACUAAUAUAUCUUGGUUUAAUUUUUAAUUUAUUCAACUAUGACUCAACUAUGUAUAUUACUUUCAUAUCUUAUUUCAUAUUUUAUUUCAUAUUUUACUAAUAUUUUUUAUUGUAAUACGAAAUAAACAGCGAAAUAAGAAAGUGUAUAUUAUCAGUCUUUUUACAAACUUGAUAAAAAAAAUGCUUGGUUUUAUAUAUUAUUAAUCAAACACUCAGAUAUAUACCCUUCGAAGGUUCCAAGAGGAAUAGCCCUGCUGAACAUUUUACGAUUGUACAAUGCUUGCUUACUUACUUGUAAACGUCAAUGAACGCAUGCGCAUAAGAGAGUACCGUGAAUAGUCUGUCAUCAGGAUCGUAUAUAAGAUGGAGACACAAAAGAGGGAAACAUACCCAAAAUAUAGUAAAAAUAAUUUAUCUCAAUUUCAUUAGUAAAAUUUACGACUUGUUCAAGUGAUUAUAUCAUUUCACACGUCAUAAGGAGUUAAAAAUAGAUUAAACGUUUUAGGAGAUGAAAGAACGUUAUUCUAUAACAAAGUUAUUGAUUUUUUAAUAUUCUAUAAAAACCUACUGCUUGAUAUAUUAAUAUUAUUUUUUCAAUGAAAAUUUACAGAUUAUGUAGGCAUCAUAAACUUUGAUCUAUCUCAUUAACUUUCUUGCGGUGAUCUAUCGCGCUGUUAUAUUUAUUACCUCUUACAAUUACGUAUAAACGUAUAAGCAAAUUUAAUAUUUAUUCAAGAAAAGAUAACAUGUGCUAAUAGUCUGACGCGCAAUGUUCUACAAUUCAUUCAAAUGUUUUAUGCCAACAGAACUAUUAUAUAUCUAUAUUCGUUGUUGUAUACUAUGCAUCGUAAAUAAUUUGAAAGAAUAUGUAUGUACUUAGUAAGUAACAGCUUGUACAUUUGAAUUUGCACUUAAUGAGCUCUCAGUGAUCUACGGAUAACUGAGUUCGGAGCACCUGGCGCACAGCCAAUGCGGUUGAGAAAAACGUGUUAGUAUCACUAACAUCUUUCAUUAAGGACAGAUACAUAUUGUACAUACAUAUAUGUAUGUAUUCUUUGUAUUUCGUAUAUAACAAUUUUAUAUUUAAAGAAUUCAUAUAAUAAUUUUUGAACAAUAUGUAUUGUUAAAUAUAUAUAUGAUGUAUUUAUUAUAUUUAAUAUAAAAACUUUUUUCUAUUUUUUUCAUUUUUCUAUGGAAUGUCAAAAAUUUCGCGGGUUUAAUGUACACGAAAAUGUAUUCUCAUCAUAUUCGUAGUUGAAUAAUAUAUAAAUAAUGUUAAUAAUUAAUUUACAAGAGAUUCAGCCAUGCAUUUGCUACGAUAUUGAUUCGUUACAUUGGAAUUAAUAUGAUAAUUCAUCGCAUAACGGGUUAUAAAUGGAAGAAUAAUAUAAUGAUGCUUAUCGAACUGAGUAUAGUAUAUGUAUUGCGGUUAAAUAAAAAAUUAUCAUUAUUAUGUAUAAUUGCUAAUUACAUGUUUUUACGUAGGUGAAAUACGAUAUUAGUGACAAUAUGUAUACAUAUUUCAGCCGAUUAAUUUUAAAAUGAUGUACGGGAAAAUGGUUAAUUUACAAAGGGUUAUAAUAUAGUGUAAUUGUCACACAAUAAUAGCUUAGUUCGCGAAAAAAUUCGAUAAAUUUCAAUAAUUUAAUCUAAUCGACAUUAAAGAAUAAUAGAAGCACAUCAAAUAAUUACAUGAAAUUCCUGAAUCUAAUAUUUCUGCUUCUAAGUGUUACUAUUAAAUAUUCACGUUUUUCUAUCUAUAUAUAUAAUCUAUGCACAUAAUUAGUCCUCACGAAGUAACUUAAUGAGAUUAAGCUUACUAUUAGUCAUAUCUAUAUUAAAAAUUCUUGGAUACUUAGCAACAGUAUUGAAUUACUAAAAUCAUUAAAAUAAAACAGAUAUACACAAUUCUAUAGAGGUGUAUAUGGGAAAUUUAAUAUUAAUUGUGUUUUAACUUAUGCACAUUCAUACUUUUAAUAGAGACAUAGUAUGCAAUAUAUUUAAUGUUUAAAAUUUAAAUAAUAUGGUUUAUUGUAUACGUGUAUAUGAAAUGCAUAUAUUAAGAAAUUCUGAAUUUUCAUUGGUUAUUAUAUCAAACAAGAAAUUAAACAGUUGUUAUGCAAUUGAUUAUAUUUAGUUAGAAUAUUUCUUAUGUUUAUUGUGACAAGUAGUGUAAAAAGUUGAGUGUAAAUAAUUAUUCUUUAUAUUAAGAAUAAGAUAUUCGUUGUAUGAAUCAGAUAAAGGUAAUGUGUUUCAAUUAUUUGAUUCUACGAUAUGACUAUGACAUAGUAUAAAUGGCAUAAAUUACUUUUCGCCAAUAUUUAUCAAAAUUGAAACAUUUCAUAUUUUUAAAUAUUGAUAUAAUUUAUAUAACGAUUAAAGAUCUUAUGAUUUGAAAUUUAGAAUUAUUUGUACUACAUAACUUACCAAUAAUUAUAUUAUCAUUGCAGCCUUAUUUCCUGUGAUACAUCUCAAAAGGAUUAAAAUAUUAUAUUUGUAAUAGAUGGACUCAAUUAUUAAUUAGGAAAUGUUGCUCUAUAUAAAAAAUUUCUAAACAUAAAAUAUAGGGAAAUAUAGAAAUUCUGGCACACGUUCUCAAUACUUUAAAAUUGUUUAACAGUAACUGAAGUAUAAAAUGUAAACAGUACCAAUAAAACUUUUUGUCAAUGCAAUAA